UUAUCAAAAACAUCGCCUGUUUAUCAAAAACAUGGCCUAUUAGAUAAGAAUAAUAGGUCUAUUCUGCCCAUUGAUAAAUAUUAAAAGGCUGCAGUAUAUUGACUGUACAAAGGUAGCAAAAUCAUUUGUUUUUUAAUUGAAAACUGGAAUGAAAGAGUGGAUGAAAUAUAAAUUGUCUCAAUAUAAUAAUAUUGAAUUUAAAUUAAAAGUUAAAAUGCUUUUAUAUAUUUAUAAGACGAUAAGACCCUAUAGAAUUUAAUAGAAUUUAUUUUUUAAAAUUAAUAUUUUAAUAAAAUUUAAUAAAUAAAUAUAUUUUAUUGGGAGGAUAAUUAAAUAAAUAAAACUUUAAUAAUAUUUUAACAUAGAUUAAUGAAUUAAUUGAUUAUUUUUAUAAUUAUUAGAAUAAAUUACCUUAGGGAUAACAGCGUUAUAAUUUUGGAGAGUUCAUAUUGAUAAAAUUGUUUGCGACCUCGAUGUUGAAUUAUGAUAAAAGUUAAAUGGAGAAAUUUAAAUUUUUAGUCUGUUCGACUAUUAAAAUCAUACAUGAUCUGAGUUCAAACCGGAGA
This 566-nucleotide ribosomal RNA is filed under the name Vespa bicolor. RNAcentral's name for it is "partial large subunit ribosomal RNA". The stretch from base 418 to 566 matches the Rfam family "Archaeal large subunit ribosomal RNA", at positions 2542 to 2691 of the family's 2987-position model. Lineage: Eukaryota; Metazoa; Arthropoda; Insecta; Hymenoptera; Vespidae. The record is from RNAcentral.